This is a non-coding RNA of Equus caballus (horse), 2133 nucleotides long. NCBI's taxonomy places the organism in Eukaryota, Metazoa, Chordata, Mammalia, Perissodactyla, Equidae. The record is from RefSeq and is a predicted model, not a curated record.
CCUGUCCCAGUUUAUCAAAAGCAACCAGCCCAAUAAUUCUCAUGCCAAAGAGACAUCUUGGCGUGGCCAAGACCAGUUCCCCACAGAACCAUGUCUAAAUAUCAUAAAUAUGGUUUCUGCUUUUUAUUACCAGUGAAGACAAUGCUCUUCAAGUUUCUUUGCUCCUCUUCCAGUCUCUCAUUCCUUCUUCCCUCUCGGCAUUCUUCCUUCCUUUCACCUUUCUUGUGUCCUUUCUCUCAAUGACCUUCUUCCAUUCUUUCUUUCUUGAGUGUCUACCGUGUGUCAGGCCCUGUCUUGGGACUUGGAGAUGCAGAGGUGAGCAGGGGAUAUAGCCCCUGGUGAGAAGCAGAGAGGAGACCCAAGGAAAGAUAGUUACUAAGAAAUAGGCUAUAUGAGCCUGCCACCCAGCAGAAAGGAAAUUUGGAGCAAGAAAUAAAAUUGCUCGGUGAAAUCACUCAUGCUUUUAAGGCUACUUACAGAGUCUACCUAGAGUUAGAUGAGGGCUGAGAACAGGGGCCUGGGAAACACUGGCUUUCCCUAGGAUUUGUGGAAAUUGAGGGGCCUCUGACCAAUUCAGAGGAAGAAAUAGCCUCAGAAACAAGAAGCAAACUGGAAGCUGUUUGUAUCAUUGAAAGCAUCAUGAAAUUCAGCAAGGUUAAAUAACGUGACUGAACUUCCGUGACUGGAGAGUGGAAGAGUCAUAUGUAAAUAUCAUUAUUAGGAAAAACAUUAUUCCCCAUUCAUGUUCCCAACGGAGGACAGCAUUAGUGUCUUUCUUUCUGUCUCUUAGGCACUCCACUCAGGGACAGAGGGGUGACAUUUUAUUGUUGGUUAUGGAAGAGAAACUGGACAUUGGAUAGCUCUCUUGUCUUUGGGAUCUGCCUGCCUGAAAAAAAAAUCACAAUUUCCUAUCUCCUUUGGGCUGUGAUGUAAUUUUAGCAGGAAAGACCCUGUCCUGGAGGGAGGAGGUCUGCGGUAGACCAGAGCUGCCUGUGACUGGGUCUGCCCAAUUCCGAGGUUUAGUAUAAGGAACCCAAAGUAGCUGCACACCUAAGCUGCAUUUCUCUAUUAGCUUUAUCAGUAUUAAAUCUGACAAUGGUCCUUCAUUUACCUGACUCUUCUCUGACUCUUUCUCAGUGGAUUCUCACUUUGCAUGAGACAGAAGGGUGAUACUAUUUGGGGUCCCUUCAACUUCAACAGUCGUAAAAAGUUCCCUCCUAUCAACAAGCAACAAGGAACAUCUUUCAAACAUAGACAGAUAUCAAAAUGGAAAACAACUUAUUUGUCUUUGGUGGAAAGUAAAAAUGAUGACUGCAUAAAUAUAAUUUGAGAAGCCAUGGCUUCUCAGCUGGUGGCAAGGUCUGAAGUUCCCUCCUUCUAUAUUUCAAAGGUACUAUGUUAGUACUUCUCUUUUCUUCAUGGACAAUUUUAUAUUCAUAUGGGAGCAAAUGCUUGGAGAAAUGGGAUGGCAAUAGCCUUCAAAAUAACCCAAAAAGCUUAUUUAGACUUUUCACAUGUGAGGGACUGUUCGCUUUACAUAUACUAACUCAUGCAAUCCUCAUGACAGUUCCAUUUCAUAGAUGAGAGAACUGUGACAUAGGGAGAUUGUGACUCACCUGAGGUCAUGGGGUUCUGGGACUGGCACAACCUUAGCUGCUGUACCAUCGACAUCCACGCUGUUAACAACUAUACUUUCUGUCCCUUCUCUGCUGUUCCCAUUUUACCUUCUUCACCAUCUUCUUUAAGGGUCCUCUAUUGGCCAAACCCAGCUUGAAGCCAUUUGGUAAGAAAGUCCACUAAGGUCACAGGAGCAUGGACAAGAGGGUAUCUUACCCAUGGAAGAAUAAGCACAUUGUAGAGCUGUUACUAGUCUCUGAAGGACUGUGCUUUACAUCGGAAGCCAGUUGUCAUUUUGUGGGAGCACUCAAGCAUCACCAUGGAGGGGUCCACAGAGCAAAAACCUGCGGCCUCCUGCCAACAACCAUUUUGGAAGCAGAUUCUGCAGCCCCAGUGAAAACUUUAAAUGACUAUAGUCCAGGCUGAUGUCUUGACUGCAACCUCAUGAGAAGUUCUGAACCAGAACCACCUAAGUGACUACUGAAUUCUUAACUCAUUAAAAUUAUGAGAUAGCAA